GGAAGUAUUAGAUGGCGAUCUGGCUGCGACAUCUGUGCCCCCAUUGAUUGCCAGGGUUGAUUCAGCUGAUCUGACUGGCUAGGCCGGUGUCCCCUUCCUCCCUCACUGCUCCGUGUGCGUCCCUCCCGAAGCUGCGCUCAGUCGAAGAGGAGGACCAUCCCCGCUAGAGGAGGAUCGGUCUUCUGUCAAGGGUAUACGAGUAGCUGCUCUCCCCUGCUAGAACCUCCAAACAAGCUCUCAAGAAAUUAUUAGAUGAUGAGCCAUUUACUGGGACACUGUCACCCACAAAGAGACCAGGAUAGAAUUGAUAGUUCUUGGCUUU
This 322-nucleotide small nuclear RNA is filed under the name Ochotona princeps (American pika). RNAcentral describes it as "7SK RNA (ENSOPRG00000021410.1)". It matches the Rfam family "7SK RNA". From Rfam's summary of the family: 7SK was discovered as an abundant small nuclear RNA in the mid-70s but a possible function has only recently been suggested. Two independent studies have found that 7SK RNA binds the CDK9/cyclin T complex (known as elongation factor P-TEFb). The record is from RNAcentral. Lineage: Eukaryota; Metazoa; Chordata; Mammalia; Lagomorpha; Ochotonidae.